Molecule: ribosomal RNA, 249 nt
Filed under: uncultured bacterium
Lineage: Bacteria
Description: partial 16S ribosomal RNA
Rfam family: Bacterial small subunit ribosomal RNA
Source: RNAcentral
UACGUAGGGUGCAAGCGUUAAUCGGAAUUACUGGGCGUAAAGCGUGCGCAGGCGGUGAUGUAAGACAGUUGUGAAAUCCCCGGGCUCAACCUGGGAACUGCAUCUGUGACUGCAUAGCUAGAGUACGGUAGAGGGGAUGGAAUUCCGCGUGUAGCAGUGAAAUGCGUAGAUAUGCGGAGGAACACCGAUGGCGAAGGCAAUCCCUGGACCUGUACUGACGCUCAUGCACGAAAGCGUGGGAGCAACAGG